Molecule: long non-coding RNA, 3691 nt
Filed under: Homo sapiens (human)
Lineage: Eukaryota; Metazoa; Chordata; Mammalia; Primates; Hominidae
Description: non-protein coding lnc-TINCR-1:2
Source: RNAcentral
GCUAGUCGGGCGGGUGCGCGGGGCGCUCGGGGCCCGGGGCCAGAGCUGGAGCCGGAGCCGGGCGGGCGCCAUGGAGGGGCUGCGGCGGGGGCUGUCGCGCUGGAAGCGCUACCACAUCAAGGUGCACCUGGCGGACGAGGCGCUGCUGCUACCGCUGACCGUGCGGCCGCGGGACACGCUCAGCGACCUGCGCGCCCAGCUGGUGGGCCAGGGCGUGAGCUCCUGGAAGCGCGCCUUCUACUACAACGCGCGGCGGCUGGACGACCACCAGACGGUGCGCGACGCGCGCCUGCAGGACGGCUCGGUGCUGCUGCUCGUCAGCGACCCCAGGUAGUCUGGGUUGGAGGAGGCAGAGCCAUGACCAAGGGGACCUGGGUACUGGCUGAAGGAAUAGGCUGGGGUAGAGGGCACUUUUGGAAGGCACUUCUCCUGCCUCCCGGGAGCCUAGAUCUCACUCCAGGGUCUGGGCUCCCAGGUGGACCAUGAAACCCUGGCCUGACCAGCUGAUGCACACUGCUUCAGACACUCCUGCUGGAGCCCCAGUCCCUGACAAGGACCUAGGACAUUUUUGCUCCUGCCCAGCCUAUCGGGAGGGAGCCUUGAGCCUUUCAGCUCUGCUGUGUGACUUUGAGGUUGUUGCUCCCCUCUUGGGGCCCUGGGUGCCCUGUCUUCAGUGGAAAGCACUGUGCCACCUUGGAAAGCUCCCAUGGGCAGCCAGAGGGCAUCGCAAGAAGAGAAGCACAGAAGGGGCAGGAGAGACACUCAGAGGCACUUCCGCUCUUGCCCAGGACAUUUUCCCAGCCACACCUUUGCCCAAGCCGUGCCCCCUGCCUGGAGCACUUUUCAACCUCUUCUCUGCAGCUCCAAUACACCUGGGAUUGCAGUCUCCUCCAGGAAGUCUUCUCAGAUUCCCUCCUUCCCAGCCAGAGAGCACCUAGCCUUCUUUGGGGCCCCCACAGGCCCUUUGUGCAGUGAACAGCCCUGGCUGGGGGUGCAGCCAGUCGUGUCCGAACUCUCCAAUGACUAAGCGGGGAGAUGCGGACAUCCUAGCUCCUUCUCAGGCCUCCAACUGUGCCCCAUUUCCACCCCCAAAUACCUCCCCAGGAGGCACCUGUGCCCACCCCCUGGGCUGUUUCCCCCUUCCCCUUAAAUCCGGAUGCCUCGUCUUGCAUAGGGUCUUGGGGCAGCGGGGAAGGGGUUCUGAAGAACUCUGGCCAAGAGGACGAGGAUCUGGGGGUGGGGAACUGGGCCUAGCUGUGGGAGGUCAUCGCGGGGCAUUGCAGGGAGUGCGUUGUGGGAAUUCCGGGUGGAGACCCUCAGGGCAGUGUGCCGGGCCUCCGUUGCACCUCUGACCUGCAGCCACGUCAUCGUUGCGCAGCCCCUGGGGAGGGUCUUUGGGGAGGGGGUGCCGAGGCUACGCAUGUCCUCGAGGGCCGUGUACACUCUCCAGGCACCAUGGGCGGAGGCGCCAGAGGCUGGGAAGAAAUAAUGUUUUAGUUAAGAGUCCUGUUGGCUGCAGGACUCAGAGCAUGGACAGGUGGAUAGUAAAUCACCACCACGGGGACAGCCGUGCCCAGACUGUGCGUUUGCUUAGCUCGGGGACAGCACUUGGCCCGGGGUCUCCUGCUCGCCUCCCUUCAGAGCAUCUGCCAAACUUCGGGCAUCUACCCUGCAAUUCCCGCUUGGCUGAGAGGAGGGGGAGAAGGAGGGGAAGAGAGAGGAGCCCCACUUCACUCCGGCAGGCAGACCUGCUGGAGCUGCUUUGCAGAAUGACUUGGGUCUUGCUGGCCCCUGGGUGUGCCUGGAGGGGGGUCUUCCUAUCCCCCUCCACCUCUCCCCUUGGUGCCUAACCCAGGACUUUGUCCCCAGAGACCCACUGUGUGCCCCCUGGAGCUCCUCCUAGAGCAGAGUCUGCUGCUGUCUGUUCUGCAGAGGGUAGCCUGAGGCCCAAGGAGGUUGUCAGGGACACACAGCAGGGGGAGGCAGCCCAGAUCCCUGCUCAUGCGUGGUUUGGGCCUCUGCUAACAGCUGGGCCACAUGCGUGUAUCUAGAGCCUGGGUCCCCUCUGUCCUCAUUUCCCUGUGCAUAUUCAGGGACAUGCCUCGUCAGGGUUUGGCAAGAAAAUGGGGCAUUUAAUAAUCUCCCCAGUUUCAUUCCUUGGUCCUUACUCCAUGCCAGGACUUGUGCACAUCUUUUUGGAGCCCUGUCUCACUUGAUUGACAGCCGGCCAGGCGCGGUGGCUCACGCCUGUAAUCCCAGCACUUUGGGAGGACGAGGCAGGCGGAUCAUGAGGUCAGGAGAUGGAGACCAUCCUGGCUAACACGGUGAAACCCCGUCUCUACUAAAAGUACAAAAAAAAUAGCCGGGCCUGGUGGCGGGCGCCUGUAGUCCCAGCUACUUGGUAGGCUGAGGCAGGAGAAUGGCGGGAACCCGGGAGGCAGAGGUUGCAGUGAGCUGAGAUCACGCCACUGCACUCCAGCCUGGGCGACAGAGCGAGACUCCGUCUCAAAAAAAAAAAAAAAAAAGAUUGACAGCCUCACUGCUCAGGGGCCAGGAUAACAGCCCAUUUUACAGAUGGCUUUUGGCUUGCCCAAGGUCACCACCCUCUGAACUGAGGCGUCCCCAACCCAUGCCGGGAGCUGGUGGAGGAAGUGGGGAAGGGUUUCCCGCUUCUCCACUGGGGGUGGAGGUGGGAGAAAGCAUUUUCAGGGUGUUUUGACAUUUAACAAACAGUAUGCAAAUCACAUGCAAAUCGCAUGCAAAUCACCACCCAUUUCUUAAGCCUCGACAGCGCUGGCAUGUUCUGAAAUAAUAAUGUUGGACCUGUCCCUUGAUGAUGACCUGGGUCGGGAGGUGCACGGCCUUUUCCUUCCUCCGUCUUCCCUUCCCUUCCCUUCCCUUCCCAUCUGUUCUCCCUUCCUUCGCCCCCUUCCUUUCCUCUCCCUCCCUAUCUUCCAUUUUUCUCUUCUUCCUUCACAUCAUUUGUCCAAGACCUCCCUGGCCUGAGAUAAACAUAAGUUGCAAAAGUGGCUUCCUGCAGCCCAUUUUCCAGGUUGGGAAACUGAGGCAUGGGCCUAAGGUCCCACAGCCACACCGAGGAAAGCAGCCCCCACUGAAUGUCACCAUGCACCAAAGUGCAUGGUCCUCGUGACACAAAGAGGGGAGAUGACAGUGGCUGGAGUUGUCAGAGCUGCUUUGAGGAAGCUCCAGGCCUGAUAGGCUUGACAGGGCCAAGGGGAACUAUUGUGGAAUGUCUUGGCCUUGAAUGACAGGCUGCUGAUUUUGGAUCUGGAGAAAGCUCACACUGACUCUUCCUGCUCCCCCAGUCUGUUUUUCUCCUGCUACUCCAUCCAUGUAUCCCUGAGUUUGGGCCACAGUCCCUCCACUUGGUUUGCAUGUCCCACCUUCUUUGUUUGGCAAGCUCCUAUUCAUCCUUCAAAGCCCUAGCUUCAAUACCUGCUACUUCAUGCAGCCAUUGCUUAUCCUUCAAGGAGAGCCUACUUCCCUCAAGGACCCUGCUGCUUCCAGUCUCACCUUCUGACUCACUCGGGAUCCACUGAACUGGGAGGUCUGUGUCUCCUCCCAGCAGAGUCAUCACUACCUUUGGGGCCGCAGGAUCACCCAGCUUGGAACUAGAUACAGAAAUGCUGUUUUGAGAGUGUACUGAAUAAAAGAUUACAUGUUUGAAAAC